UCCGGGGUGGGAUGGGCGGGGCGACGGGGAGCCCCUCAUCCUCUGUAGCAGCGGCAGGCGGCGGCUCUGGUGGAGUGGCGGGCGCAGGUGGUGCAAUGCCCGCAGCCACUCGGCCACCGACAGCGCAGCAUCCCCAGCCUCUGCCAUGGUUCCUGCCAGCAGAGGUCCGACUGGCAGGGCUCUGUCCGGAGCUGGAAUAGACAAACAGGCACAGGUCAGAGGCAGGGUUGCCGAGAGUGGUCCCCUCACCAGCAGCCUGCAUGGCCCUCUCAAGCCACGGGUUCGGGUUCUGUCCUGGAGCUUCCUCCCCAGUGCUCCAUGUGCUAGGCAAGGCCAGAAAACCCUCCAUGAUCUCUGGGAUCGGCACCACCCCACACCCCAACACACGGCCUCAGCCACUGCUGUGAGACUGGCCAGUGGCGUGACUGGUGCUAUGUCUGGUAUCUCCUCCCCACUGCCCUCUGCAAGACCCAGGGCAGGGCCAAUUCUCUCUGAGGCACCAGUUCCCCGUGAGGGCCAGGAUAAGCACUUAGCAAGCGUUGAAGGACACCACUCACUGCUGGUCUCUCCUGCAAGCCCAGUCUGGGAGCCCAGACUAGCCUCCCCUUACCCCUAUGCCCAUGGAGGAAGUGUACGAGGCAAUGAGGACUCAGGCUCCACCCCUGCACCCUGCAAUUAAGAGCUCCUAGCCUGGUGGGAGUCAAGAGGUGAUGUGAAGAGAAGGUGACCGGAAGAGGUGAUGAGCAGAUCAAAGGGAAAAGUCAUCCGAUUCUCUCCACAGACACUGGAGAGGCAUACGAUAAAAUUCAAUAUCCAGCUUACUUACACAAACAAAAUCUUACUAAAACAGAAAUAAAUUGAUACUUUCCUAA
Long non-coding RNA from Saimiri boliviensis boliviensis (Bolivian squirrel monkey), 872 nucleotides. RefSeq lists it as uncharacterized. The record is from RefSeq and is a predicted model, not a curated record. NCBI's taxonomy places the organism in Eukaryota, Metazoa, Chordata, Mammalia, Primates, Cebidae.